CUGAUGUGUUGUGAUUUUGCAUAGUUUUAGCUUUGUUAUUUCAUAUAUAUUCAUGCAUUAACCUUACAUUUAUUUGCAUUUAGAGUCUAUUGCAUGUACAUUUGCAUCUUGUAGGUGUUGGAUGAAUUGUUUGGAGUUUUGGAGGUGAUUAGAGCACAAAAGGAGCUUUCGAGGAGUCUUGAACCGAACGUGUGAAAGACAAGCAUGGAUGAAGGUCUUAAAGAUAUCUUUUGAAACUUGUCUUUUGGGAAGACAUGGUAAAUUGAGUUAGCUUUACAAUGGAGGUGGUUUCAAGUCGUUUGGAGCUGUAUUGAGGGAUUUAUGAUCAAAAUACUACACACAUAUCAGUGUGUGCAACAUGGAGAAAGUGGAGAAAACUUUAAUGAGUGAGUUUUAUCUCUUUAAAGCUUGCAACAUGGGGGAUGGGUUGUCUAUCAUGAGUUUGGUGGUUCUUUUGGCCUAACUUUCUCUACCUUUUCUGAAGAGGCAAGACUACUUUGGCCAUAUGAAGGGGCAAAAGGUGUUCUAUAAUGGAAGAAAGUGGAGAAUAACUUUUAUGAGUGUGUUUUAUGCUUUAUGCUUUCACAUGAUGGAUGUGUUGUCAUCCUCCUUUACUUAGGCUAUAAAAGAGACUGCAAGGGGAAGGAGGAAGACACAAUACACAGAGUACAAUACAACAAAGAGUAGAGAGUGAAAGUUUUAUAGUUUCAUAUUUUGUAUUUUGAGAGUUUGAGAAAAAACAUUUGUUCUUGGAGUGUUCUUGAAGUUUAUGUUAUAAAGUCUUGUUUUCCUUUA
Long non-coding RNA from Brassica napus (rape), 795 nucleotides. RefSeq lists it as uncharacterized. The record is from RefSeq and is a predicted model, not a curated record. The transcript is spliced from 2 exons. Lineage: Eukaryota; Viridiplantae; Streptophyta; Magnoliopsida; Brassicales; Brassicaceae.